Molecule: ribosomal RNA, 302 nt
Filed under: uncultured bacterium
Lineage: Bacteria
Description: partial 16S ribosomal RNA
Rfam family: Bacterial small subunit ribosomal RNA
Source: RNAcentral
GCAGUACCGCGGUAAUACGGAGGGGGCUAGCGUUGUUCGGAAUUACUGGGCGUAAAGCGCACGUAGGCGGCUUGGUAAGUUAGAGGUGAAAGCCUGGAGCUCAACUCCAGAAUUGCCUUUAAGACUGCCGAGCUAGCAGGUGAGAGAGGUAAGUGGAAUUCCGAGUGUAGAGGUGAAAUUCGUAGAUAUUCGGAAGAACACCAGUGGCGAAGGCGGCUUACUGGCUCAUACUGGACGCUGAGGUGCGAAAGCGUGGGGAGCAAACAGGAUUAGAUACCCCGGUAGUCCCUGUCUCUUAUACA